AACCAAUGUAAAGGAGGUGAUCCAAUGUCUUAUGAGAUUACGGCGCUCGAAGAUGGUCCUGGGUUUGUAGUGCAGAGCGGGAGUGAUCUCGGCUAGCACACGCCUCCCCCGGCCCUCGAGGUCGAAAUACUCAGGAAGGGCCGUCCUCAUGGGAUGGCCCU
RNAcentral lists this unclassified non-coding RNA (161 nucleotides) under Devosia psychrophila. Its description in RNAcentral is "caulobacter sRNA CC2171". Lineage: Bacteria; Pseudomonadati; Pseudomonadota; Alphaproteobacteria; Hyphomicrobiales; Devosiaceae. The record is from RNAcentral.